GUGUUACGGCUGCUGUGAUUUAUAGUAGUGGGGACUCUGUGGAGUGUUAUAUUCCCCACUGUACUGACCGUAACAAAGUUGGCAUCCUCGCCAGGAUAACACUCUAGUGAGCUGUAGCAGUUAACUGCAGCCGUGGUGAACGUAGCAUAAAGUGGCGACCUCGCCAGGAUAACACUCUAGUGAGCUAUAGCAGUUAACUGCAGCCGUGGCGUACGUAACAAUAUAUAGACAGUAAAGGAAAUCACUCCUUCAUAACAGGCAGAAUAGGCUUCAAGACAACAACUUUCUACGGUCGUAAGGAGACUGAUUGAGGUGCUACCACUAUGUACAAGUGAUUCUGAGGAUAUUGAUGAGUAUGCUGAUGACGAAGUUGAUGAUGAUUAUAAGCCGCAUGACUCAGAAUAUGAGGAGUCAACUGAAGAGGAUGAACAUCCAUAUGAAACCCUCGUUCUGGAAAUUGACAAUCCAUCACCAGAUCUAUCACCUAGGCCUAAGCCAACUCAUGGUUGUUACACAGACGACAGGCAAAUUCCAGAGAGAAAGCAAAUGAGCGUUUGUGAUUUCAUGCUAAAAUUAUCUUACUCUCUCUUGCUAAGUGGAAAGACAAAAGGGAAAAAGAGGAAGAGCUUAGGUAAUGCAGUAAGCGGUGCAUACACUGUUAAGAAAAAAAAGGGGAAAAGCUACAAAACCCAUUCCUGAUAAGGAUAUCAGAUUGGAUAAAAUUGAUCAUUUCUCUCAUAUCUUCUUGAAGGGGUUCCUGUAAAUUACCUAGGUGUAAAGGCAAGAUUUCAGUGUUCUGCCAGAAAUGUUAAGUUCACUUAUGUUUGGAAUCAAAACGAAAUUGCUUUCAGGAAUUUCACACCAAUUGAGAUAAAACAAAUUUAAUUUUCAAAGUAAGAUGUGAAAGAAUUGCAAGCUUUAGUUUUAUAGGGCUGUGAGUCAAGAGUUGUAUUUAUGUUACUUCAAACUUCUAUAACCAAAGGAUAUAUUAGUCACUUAUCAGUCACUCAGACUUAUAUGUUUUGGACUGAUGAAAGUUGUAUUUUAUUUCUCAAUUACUAGAGAACGUGAUUAGUCAUAUAGGCUUAUACAAGAUAAUUAUAUACAGAAAGGAAAACAAUGUUCUGCUGCCCUGUGCAAUCAAACUACUAGAAUAACCAAAGGAAAUAGAAAGUUGUAUAUAGUAUAUAUUGGAAUAUAAUUAUCCUUAUGUUUUUUAGUAAAUAUGCAUUAUGAUAUAUAGUUCUUGUUUACAUGAUAUUACACUGUAUUAGGACAAUUUUAUUUCAUAAUAGGUUCCAAAAUAAAAAAUUUGAGAAAAACAAAAAUGUUGUAUAAGGACAAUUUUGUCACGUUAAUAUAUUUUCUCAAUUUCAAAUAAAAAUGAUUUUUCUUUUG
Portunus trituberculatus (swimming crab) is the source of this 1398-nucleotide long non-coding RNA. RefSeq lists it as uncharacterized. NCBI's taxonomy places the organism in Eukaryota, Metazoa, Arthropoda, Malacostraca, Decapoda, Portunidae. The record is from RefSeq and is a predicted model, not a curated record. The transcript is spliced from 2 exons.